RNAcentral lists this long non-coding RNA (1077 nucleotides) under Olea europaea subsp. europaea. The record is from RNAcentral. Lineage: Eukaryota; Viridiplantae; Streptophyta; Magnoliopsida; Lamiales; Oleaceae.
CGACCAUUCAUUCUUCAAUAAAAUAAUAUUACACACAAAUCUAAAAAAAUUUCUUAUUUUUUAACCACAUAUUUCCCAUCAAUACACUAUUCAAAAAUCCAUUCUCUUCCCCAAAAAUGGGGUUGAAAAAACUAUCUAAGAUUGAUUUCCCACGGUUUAGGGUAGAUGGACCUAGGGAAUGGUUGGGGAAAGCCUGGAAGUAUUUCCAACUUCAUCAAGUCCCUGAAGAACUGAAAGGUAGGAUUGCAGAUAUGUACUUAAAGGAGAAAGCAAACAUAUGGUUUGAUUGCUUCUUUGCAAGCCAUCCUUAUACAGAUUGGGGCUUAUUCUCUGAGGUGACCUGCAGAAGGUUUUCAUUCACCACUGGGAGAGGAAAUGAUUGAAUCAUUUAGCAAGAUUAAACAAUUGGGCUCAAUGACUUAACACUAACAGAGGUUUGAAAAGAAGUCCCAGGUAAUGUCAGCAUUGCCUCAUGCUCCAGAGUCAAACUACAUAUUUGUUUUUACCAGUGGAUUAAAAGGACAGAUAACAUCCAUGGUCAUAAUGAUGAAGCCAAAUGCCUUAUCCAAGGCCUUUGAAAUUACCUGCCUUCAAAAAUCAACCAUCCUAACCACUAACAGAUUCCAAAAACCUAAAAACUUCUUACCAAACCAUAACAAAUGGAGUUUCCAUCCUUCAAAAGCUCCUAAUGAAACAAAACCCAAUGAACCAUAGCCCAAAGUCAAUAAAUCAACAAACAAUUACAAGACCAUCACACCCACUGAAUUCUAAACCAAAAGAAAUAUGGGGCUUUGUCAUAAAUUUGAUGAGAAAUAUAUCACAGGACAUAUCUGCAAAAAAUAGGUCCCUGAAUCUUAUGUUGAUAGAUGAAGAUGAGAAGAGUGGGCCAGAGGAGGACAAAAAAUCUGAAUCAGAAGAUGGACAAGAGGGUAAUGAGAUAAUGGAGAUCUCUAUUAGUGCCUCGGCUGGAAGUUUAAAGCAUAAGACAACAAGAGUCCUUGGAAAAAUCAAGGGAAGGAAGAUCUCUAUCUUGGUAGAUAGUGGGAGUACUCACAGCUUUAUAGAUGAGAGGCCGGU